UACAGAGGGUGCGAGCGUUGUCCGGAAUCACUGGGCGUAAAGGGCGCGUAGGCGGCCUGGUAAGUAGGAGGUGAAAUUCUGCGGCUUAACCGCAGAGCUGCCUUCUAAACUGUCAGGCUUGAGCACGGUAGAGGCUGGUGGAAUUCCCGGUGUAGCGGUGGAAUGCGUAGAGAUCGGGAAGAACAUCGGUGGCGAAGGCGGCCAGCUGGGCCGUUGCUGACGCUGAGGCGCGAAAGCGUGGGGAGCAAACAGG
Molecule: ribosomal RNA, 253 nt
Filed under: uncultured bacterium
Lineage: Bacteria
Description: partial 16S ribosomal RNA
Rfam family: Bacterial small subunit ribosomal RNA
Source: RNAcentral